RNAcentral lists this non-coding RNA (102 nucleotides) under Microcebus murinus (gray mouse lemur). The record is from RNAcentral. Lineage: Eukaryota; Metazoa; Chordata; Mammalia; Primates; Cheirogaleidae.
GGCUGGGCUGAGUGUAGUGGUGUUUCCAGAUAAUGGAUCACAACCAGGAAAAGUUUCCUGUGUUCUUUCUGCACUAUCAUUUUUUCACUUGAUUAACCUAAA